RNAcentral lists this non-coding RNA (352 nucleotides) under Vibrio proteolyticus NBRC 13287. Lineage: Bacteria; Pseudomonadati; Pseudomonadota; Gammaproteobacteria; Vibrionales; Vibrionaceae. The record is from RNAcentral.
AUCGCCACGGAUUUGGCCAUCUUCAGGAAGAAGAGUUGAUGAUUCAGGAUGGGGCAUCAGCAGGAAGCGAAGGACUUUGUACGGACACAACAACUGACAGGAUGUGAGUUGCAACGGAAUGACAAAGGACAGCGUUAGGAUAACGCAGGGACACCGCUCACGGAACAAGUGAUGAGAGCUAACCAGGACAGUUAGCGUUCAGGAUGAAUAGGACACCGCUAGGAAGGCGAAGUAAGGAACGCUGAAGGAUUCAGCCACUAUUAAGGAAGAUGCAAGGAGCAUCAUUAGUAGCCGGAUUGCUGCGAGUUAAGACUAUAGCCCUGAUACGCAAGUAUCAGGGCUUUUCUUUGAU